AGCAUAUCAAUAAGCGGAGGAAAAGAAACUAACAAGGAUUCCCUUAGUAGCGGCGAGCGAAGCGGGAAAAGCCCAUAACCGAAUCCUAAUGGUCUUUGGCCGUUGGGAAAUGUGGUGUUUGGUUCAAGACUUACGGCGCAUUGGAGUUGUCCUAAGUCCACAUGAUUGUGGCACAUACCCAGAGAGGGUGUAAGGCCCGUGAGGACAAUACAGUGUGUUCAAACAGUCUGGUUCCUAGAGUCGGGUUGUUUGGGAUUGCAGCCCUAAGCGGGUGGUAAGCUCCAUCCAAGGCUAAAUAUAACGUGAAUCCGAUAGCGAACAAGUACCAUGAGGGAAAGUUGAAAAGAACUUUGAAGAGAGAGUUCAAUAGUGCGUGAAACCGCUCAGAGGUAAACAGGCAGAGCCGAAGGAGACUGUGAGCAUUCUUGCUUCACUUUAAUUAUGCUUUCAUUUAAGGAGAUCCGUAAGAACUCCCAUGUUGGUGUGUGUUAAAGAGUUGCACUAUUGUUCCUGUCGGCACCACGAUCAGUAGCUAGAGUAGCCUGUCAUAGUGGACAAGGUAGCUUUUCCUUUCGGGGUUAAGAACUUAUAGGUCUAUUGUACAGCGCUACUCGAAUACUGAGCAAGUGCGAUGCAAGCUAUGAUGGCGUUCACGAUGUGUCAGGUUGACGGUGCUCUAUAGUGGCUUGUUAAAUAGAAGGCGCUGUGGAGUUUCUGUUAACAGGAUGUGUCCUCUGUGCGUUGUCGCAUCAAUCUGUGGUGAUUAUUUAAGCAAUCUGCCUGACCCGUCUUGAAACACGGACCAAGGAGUUCAACAUGUGCGCGAGUCAUUGGGUUGUACGAAACCUAAAGGCGCAGUGAAAGUAAAGGCUUACUUUUGUAGGCUGAGGUAAGAUGUCAGUUUUAAUGUGCCUUUUGUACAUGAUCUGAUCGCAUUACCAGCUCGUCCCUUGCUUUAUUAAGCGGGGCGACGCAAGAGCGCACACGUUGAGACCCGAAAGAUGGUGAACUAUGCUUGCGUAGGUUGAAGCCAGAGGAAACUCUGGUGGAGGACCGUAGCGAUUCUGACGUGCAAAUCGAUCGUCAAACGUGAGUAUAGGGGCGAAAGACUAAUCGAACCAUCUAGUAGCUGGUUCCCUCCGAAGUUUCCCUCAGGAUAGCUGGCACUCGGGAAACAAACAGUUUUAUCCGGUAAAGCGAAUGAUUAGGAGUAUUGGGGAGAAACACUCCUCAACUCAUUCUCAAACUUUAAAUGGGUGAGAAGCUGAACUCUCUCAAAUGGAGUUUGGCAUUGAAUGUGAGUGCCUAGUGGGCCAUUUUUGGUAAGCAGAACUGGCGCUGUGGGAUGAACCAAACGUCUGGUUAAGGAGCCUAACGGAACGCUCAUGAGAUACCACAAAAGGUGUUGGUUGAUUUAGACAGCAGGACGGUGGCCAUGGAAGUUGGAAUCCGCUAAGGAGUGUGUAACAACUCACCUGCCGAAUCAACCAGCCCUGAAAAUGGAUGGCGCUGGAGCGUUAGUCCUAUACCAGACCGGAACUGUAAGUCGCACGCGAGGAUGCAGUUCCGAGUAGGAGGGCGCUGUGGUGAGCAUUGAAGCUUCGGUCGUGAGACUGGGUGGAGCCGCCACGGGUGCAGAUCUUGGUGGUAGUAGCAAAUAUUCAAGUGAGAACCUUGAAGACUGACGUGGAGAAGGGUUCCAG
Molecule: ribosomal RNA, 1703 nt
Filed under: Carcharodorhynchus listensis
Lineage: Eukaryota; Metazoa; Platyhelminthes; Rhabdocoela; Schizorhynchidae
Description: partial large subunit ribosomal RNA
Rfam family: Eukaryotic large subunit ribosomal RNA
Source: RNAcentral